RNAcentral lists this ribosomal RNA (308 nucleotides) under Chloroflexota bacterium. Its description in RNAcentral is "Chloroflexi bacterium (groundwater metagenome) partial 23S ribosomal RNA". It matches the Rfam family "Bacterial large subunit ribosomal RNA", at positions 2612 to 2925 of the family's 2925-position model. The record is from RNAcentral. Lineage: Bacteria; Bacillati; Chloroflexota.
CAGAACGUCGUGAGACAGUUCGGUCUCUAUCCGUCGUGGGCGUUGGUGAUUUGAGGGGAGCUCUCUCUAGUACGAGAGGACCGAGAGGGACGGACCGCUGGUGUGCCAGUCGUCCCGCCAGGGGCGCCGCUGGGUAGCUAUGUCCGGAAGAGAUAAUCGCUGAAAGCAUCUAAGUGAGAAGCCCACCCCAAGAUGAGAUCACCAUGAGCGCAAGCUCGGGAGUCCGCAGGUAGAUAACCUGUUUGAUAGGCUGCAAGUGGAAGGGUGGCAACACCCGUAGCUAAGCAGUACUAAUGGACGAUGGCUUC